Molecule: long non-coding RNA, 1739 nt
Organism: Ostrea edulis (European flat oyster)
Lineage: Eukaryota; Metazoa; Mollusca; Bivalvia; Ostreida; Ostreidae
Exons: 4
Source: RefSeq, a predicted model, not a curated record
ACAGAAAUGAGAUGUACCCGAAAGGUACCCAAAAUGUAUCUGUAAGGUACCCGAAGCAACUUUUUCCUUGAAAAAUGUACCCAAAAAGUACCCGCAAAAAACUUAGCCAUUUUUCGACAGUACCCGGAACGUACCCGACUAUUGUAAAAAGUACCCAAAAUGUACCCAGAUUAAAAAUUGAAAAGUUAAAAUGUACCUGAAAUGUACCCAACAGAAAAAUAUAAAUGUUCAAAUGUACCCGAAUUGUACCCAGGGUAUCAAUUAAGUUAAAAUGUAUUCGAUAUGUACCCACUUUAAAGUUACUAAGUUGAAAUGUACCCGAAAUGUACCCAACAAAAAAUAUUAAUGUUGAAAUGUUUACCAGAAAUGUACCCUGGGUAAAUUAAAAAGUUAAAUUGUACACGUAAUGUACCAACUUUAAAUGUGACUAUUGAAAAUGUACCCGAAAUGUACCCAUUUAAAUAAACCUUGUCAUUUCACAACAGAUACAAAUAAUAUGAAAAUAAACAUUAAACAAUUUCACAACUGAUUUUGAAAUAAGAAAGCUUUUAUAGUCAAUUGUACCAGCAUUAUGUACCCAACUUCAAUCUGGCAUGUUUUUUUUUUAUUGAUGUAUGUAUGUUGUAGACAUUUUUUGUUUAAAAAAAUAUAUAUAUAUAUGAAAUAGUGCAAAUCCUGUUGAUGUUAAUGAAUUUUAAUUUAUCUAUAAAAAGUUUUUUUUUUUGUUCUGCCAUUAAGGUAGCUAUAGUAUUAAAGAAAAUCUGAAGGAUUACAUGAAGGGAUCCAUCCCUAAACCUCUAAAUGGAAAGCUAUUUUCCAUUUUUUAAAAACAUAACAAUCAAAAAUAAAUAAUUGUAGAGACCUAGUAGUAAGAUAUAGUCUUUUGAACUUGAUAAUGCUACAUGAUUGUUAGUCUGCACCAAUUUCAUAAGAAAAAAUUAUCUGACAGUCACUGAAUUUAAUUAUAUAUUUGGUAAACAAUCUGUAUAUAUCAUAAUACAUACAUAUAUGGAUCUAUCUGUAUUUGAUUUUUUUUGGGGGGGGGGUGUUGUUUUUUUUUUUAAUAUUGAUAUACACUGUAUGUCAAAAGAUGUCCCUGCAGAAGGAAAUUAUUGAAGAUCAUCAUAUUAUUUUUAUAAACUAGUUAACUUAUUAAUUAAUUAACCAAUCAAUUCAGAGCGGGUCUUCACAGUACUUGGCUCUAACGACCGUAAAUUGAGAUCGGGUUCCUGAUAAAAAGCAUCAGGUGUGCACUCUGAGUUCCUGCGCAUAGUCAGCAUGCAGACCAUGCAGACGCCAUUUUUAUGAUGUUGUGACCUACCGUAAACAUUAUGAACAGACAAAGAAUAGCCUUCAACAGGGACCCGAGGGAGUUCGUGGUGUUAUCCUGAAGAGAUUCCCAACCAUUAAAAUAUAAUUCAUGAUAGAUACAGAAUUUAUAUGGUGUGACCACUGACCAGACUGGUUUUAAUAUGCCAUUCUGAGAAUUACACUAUGCAGACCUGGAUCAAUGUUUAUAUAGUUCCAAAAUGAGUUUACUCUGAAUGACACUUCAGUUCAUGCACAUUUUAGAAUGUACGUCAUCAAUGUUCUCCCAAAGGAAAGUGAGCAAAAACUUAUCCAGAGAAUCAACAGCUCAUUUUUGUGAAACUUUUUAAAAUGCGCAGGAGAAAUAGGAUUACGAAGAAGAGAAGCUUUGUCAUAAUUUUUAUAGUAUGAAUUAAAUGCAAUUUCUCAUA